This 413-nucleotide ribosomal RNA is filed under the name Methanoculleus sp. enrichment culture. Its description in RNAcentral is "bacterial SSU rRNA". It matches the Rfam family "Archaeal small subunit ribosomal RNA", at positions 330 to 747 of the family's 1478-position model. Lineage: Archaea; Methanobacteriati; Methanobacteriota; Methanomicrobia; Methanomicrobiales; Methanomicrobiaceae. The record is from RNAcentral.
GUGCACCAGGCGAGAAAACUUUACAAUGCGGGAAACCGUGAUAAGGGAACCCCGAGUGCCUGUAUAUGCAGGCUGUCCAGGUGUCUAAAAAACACCUGAAGAAAGGGCCGGGCAAGACCGGUGCCAGCCGCCGCGGUAAUACCAGCGGCUCGAGUGGUGGCCACUUUUAUUGGGCUUAAAGCGUUCGUAGCUGGGUUGUUAAGUCUCUUGGGAAAUCUGACGGCUCAACCGUCAGGCGUCCAAGGGAUACUGGCAAUCUUGGAACCGGGAGAGGUGAGGGGUACUUCGGGGGUAGGAGUGAAAUCCUGUAAUCCUCGAGGGACCACCUGUGGCGAAGGCGCCUCACCAGAACGGCUUCGACAGUGAGGGGCGAAAGCUGGGGGAGCAAACCGGAUUAGAUACCCACGUAGUCC